This 720-nucleotide long non-coding RNA is filed under the name Hordeum vulgare. RNAcentral describes it as "long non-coding RNA (HVUL_LNC020790)". The record is from RNAcentral. Lineage: Eukaryota; Viridiplantae; Streptophyta; Magnoliopsida; Poales; Poaceae.
UACAAUACAAUGAAAAAACUAUGUAGGUCGAUUUGUACGGUCCAAGGAAAUGAAAAGAUCAAUGGUAUAAUCUGGAGAACGAUCAUCGAUUUUAAUAACAUAAUAAUUAAAAAGGUGUAAAAAAGAGAGGAACUUACGGGGGUUCUCUUAUGAGAAAACCAACGGAAUACCAUGAUACUUGUCCAAAACAAGUAGUAAAAUCAAGCAUAUAUCUGAUAUCAUGACCCGGUGGCAGUGGAUGCUGCUCCGCUUGCCACACUUCGUUGCAUAUCAUCCCGUGCGUUGCCACGGGACAUAAACAUUUAUAAAAGCAAUACGCAGUCAAAUUACAAAAACAAUAAAUGCCGAAGGUAUCUCCGGCUACACGCAUCAUGCGCAUCUCCUCUUAAACUCUACUUCUCGUGAAGUAUUGAGGGAGGAGACCAACAAUAUGGUCAAGUACUAAAAACCUCACAUAAACAUGGAUAAUGAACGGUUAGAUAUCUGGUGGCAACAUCUGCUAGAGCCUGGUUGGUAGUAGUCGCCAUGAUAAACUAAAGAUGGAAAUCGUGCUUGGGUUCUUCCCAUGAUUGUUACUCAAACCACGAGGCUUUACUUCCUAAUGCAUUCCUCUCAAGUGUAAAAAAAGAAAUCCAUCAUUUACCUUUAGUUGUUCUCUUUGCAUCAUGUACAUCAAAUAGAAGAAAAUACCUUGCAACCUAUAAGAAGAUACCAUAUGGC